AUGCAAGUCGAACGAUGAAAUCCUGCUUGCAGGAUGGAUUAGUGGCGCACGGGUGAGUAAUAUAUAGCUAAUCUACCCCUUGGAGAGGGACAACAGUUGGAAACGACUGCUAAUACCUCAUACUCCCAUAUAUUAUAAGAUAUAUGGGGAAACGAUUUAUUGCCAAGGGAUGAGGCUGUACGGUAUCAGGUAGUUGGUGAGGUAAAGGCUCACCAAGCCAAUGACGCCUAGCUGGUCUGAGAGGAUGAUCAGCCACACUGGAACUGAGACACGGUCCAGACUCCUACGGGAGGCAGCAGUGGGGAAUAUUGCACAAUGGGGGAAACCCUGAUGCAGCAACGCCGCGUGGAGGAUGACGCAUUUCGGUGUGUAAACUCCUUUUAUCAAGGAAGAAAUUUGACGGUACUUGAUGAAUAAGCACCGGCUAACUCCGUGCCAGCAGCCGCGGUAAUACGGAGGGUGCGAGCGUUGUUCGGAAUUACUGGGCGUAAAGCGGGUGUAGGCGGUCUGUCAAGUCAGAUGUGAAAGUCCAGGGCUCAACCCUGGAAGUGCAUCUGAAACUGUCAGACUUGAGUACUGGAGAGGGAAGUGGAAUUCCUGGUGUAGGGGUGAAAUCCGUAGAUAUCAGGAGGAACACCGGUGGCGAAGGCGACUUCCUGGACAGAUACUGACGCUGAAGCGCGAAAGCGUGGGGAGCAAACAGGAUUAGAUACCCUGGUAGUCCACGCCCUAAACGAUGAAUGUUAGUCGUUGGAGUGCUAGUCACUUCAGUGAUGCAGUUAACACAUUAAACAUUCCGCCUGGGGAGUACGGUCGCAAGAUUAAAACUCAAAGGAAUAGACGGGGACCCGCACAAGUGGUGGAGCAUGUGGUUUAAUUCGAAGAUACGCGAAGAACCUUACCUGGCCUUGACAUUGAAGGAACCUGGUAGAGAUACUGGGGUGCCCUUUUAGGGAGCCUGAAAACAGGUGCUGCACGGCUGUCGUCAGCUCGUGUCGUGAGAUGUUGGGUUAAGUCCCGCAACGAGCGCAACCCUCGUGACUAGUUACUAACGGUUAGGCCGAGGACUCUAGUCAGACUGCCUUCGCAAGGAGGAGGAAGGUGAGGACGACGUCAAGUCAUCAUGGCCCUUACGGCCAGGGCGACACACGUGCUACAAUGGGUAGGACAAUGAGAGGCGAUACCGCGAGGUGGAGCAAAUCUAUAAACCUACUCUCAGUUCGGAUUGUAGUCUGCAACUCGACUACAUGAAGCUGGAAUCACUAGUAAUCGUAGAUCAGCCAUGCUACGGUGAAUACGUUCCCGGGUCUUGUACUCACCGCCCGUCACACCAUGGGAGUUGAUUUCACCCGAAGCGGGGAAGCUAA
RNAcentral lists this ribosomal RNA (1367 nucleotides) under uncultured Campylobacterota bacterium. Its description in RNAcentral is "uncultured Epsilonproteobacteria bacterium 16S ribosomal RNA". It matches the Rfam family "Bacterial small subunit ribosomal RNA". Lineage: Bacteria; Pseudomonadati; Campylobacterota. The record is from RNAcentral.